AUACGGAGGGUGCAAGCGUUAAUCGGAAUUACUGGGCGUAAAGCGUGCGUAGGUGGUUUGGUCAGUUGGGUGUGAAAUCCCCGGGCUCAACCUGGGAAUUGCAUUCAAUACUGCCAAACUAGAGUUUAGGAGAGGAGAGUAGAAUUUCCGGUGUAGCGGUGAAAUGCGUAGAUAUCGGAAGGAAUACCAGUGGCGAAGGCGGCUCUCUGGACUAACACUGACACUGAGGCACGAAAGCGUGGGGAGCAAACAGGAUUAGAAACCCGAGUAGUCC
RNAcentral lists this ribosomal RNA (274 nucleotides) under uncultured bacterium. RNAcentral describes it as "partial 16S ribosomal RNA". It matches the Rfam family "Bacterial small subunit ribosomal RNA", at positions 523 to 796 of the family's 1533-position model. The record is from RNAcentral.